RNAcentral lists this long non-coding RNA (253 nucleotides) under Gossypium raimondii (Peruvian cotton). RNAcentral describes it as "long non-coding RNA (GRAI_LNC005540)". Lineage: Eukaryota; Viridiplantae; Streptophyta; Magnoliopsida; Malvales; Malvaceae. The record is from RNAcentral.
GUCGAGUUGUGGCCCUAAAUAGAUUUGUAUCAAAGAUGACAGACAAGUGCAUGCCUUUCUUCAACGCUCUGAAGGCACCGUAACAAUGGUCAGAGAAGUUUCAAGCCUUGUUUGAAUAGUUGAAAGAUUAUUUCAACACCCUUCCCCCCUCGUUAUAAGCAUCUUCCUCGCUGGGUGACUAUCUGUUUUUUGUAUUUAGCAGCCUUCGAUGAGACAAUGGCAGAUGUGUUAAUAAACAAAGUUCAUAGGCAGC